CCUACGGGCGACAGCAGUGGGGAAUAUUGCACAAUGGGGGAAACCCUGAUGCAGCGACGCCGCGUGAGUGAAGAAGUAUUUCGGUACGUAAAGCUCUAUCAGCAGGGAAGAAAAUGACGGUACCUGACUAAGAAGCCCCGGCUAACUACGUGCCAGCAGCCGCGGUAAUACGUAGGGGGCAAGCGUUAUCCGGAUUUACUGGGUGUAAAGGGAGCGUAGACGGCAGCGCAAGUCUGAAGUGAAAGCCCAUGGCUUAACCAUGGAACUGCAUUGGAAACUGUGCAGCUAGAGUGCAGGAGAGGUAAGCGGAAUUCCUAGUGUAGCGGUGAAAUGCGUAGAUAUUAGGAGGAACACCAGUGGCGAAGGCGGCUUACUGGACUGUAACUGACGUUGAGGCUCGAAAGCGUGGGGAGCAAACAGGAUUAGAUACCCUUGUAGUC
Molecule: ribosomal RNA, 440 nt
Filed under: uncultured bacterium
Lineage: Bacteria
Description: partial 16S ribosomal RNA
Rfam family: Bacterial small subunit ribosomal RNA
Source: RNAcentral